GAUGAACGCUGGCGGCGUGCUUAACACAUGCAAGUCGAACGGAAAGGCCCAAGCUUGCUUGGGUACUCGAGUGGCGAACGGGUGAGUAACACGUGGGUGAUCUGCCCUGCACUUCGGGAUAAGCCUGGGAAACUGGGUCUAAUACCGGAUAGGACCACUUCGUAGUUGUUGUGGUGGAAAGUUUUUUCGGUGUGGGAUGAGCUCGCGGCCUAUCCGCUUGUUGGUGGGGUAAUGGCCUACCAAGGCGUCGACGGGUAGCCGGCCUGAGAGGGUGUACGGCCACAUUGGGACUGAGAUACGGCCCAGACUCCUACGGGAGGCAGCAGUGGGGAAUAUUGCACAAUGGGCGGAAGCCUGAUGCAGCGACGCCGCGUGGGGGAUGACGGCCUUCGGGUUGUAAACUCCUUUCGCCAAAGACGAAUUUAGGACGGUAUUUGGAGAAGAAGCACCGGCUAACUACGUG
This 463-nucleotide ribosomal RNA is filed under the name uncultured bacterium. Its description in RNAcentral is "partial 16S ribosomal RNA". It matches the Rfam family "Bacterial small subunit ribosomal RNA", at positions 28 to 507 of the family's 1533-position model. The record is from RNAcentral.